GACGAACGCUGGCGGCGUGCUUAACACAUGCAAGUCGAACGGAAAGGCCCUGCUUUUGUGGGGUGCUCGAGUGGCGAACGGGUGAGUAACACGUGAGUAACCUCCCCUUGACUUUGGGAUAACUUCAGGAAACUGGGGCUAAUACCGGAUAGGAGCUCCUGCUGCAUGGUGGGGGUUGGAAAGUUUCGGCGGUUGGGGAUGGACUCGCGGCUUAUCAGCUUGUUGGUGGGGUAGUGGCUUACCAAGGCUUUGACGGGUAGCCGGCCUGAGAGGGUGACCGGCCACAUUGGGACUGAGAUACGGACCAGACUCCUACGGGAGGCAGCAGUGGGGAGUAUUGCACAAUGGGCGGAAGCCUGAUGCAGCAACGCCGCGUGCGGGAUGACGGCCUUCGGGUUGUAAACCGCUUUCGCCUGUGACGAAGCGUGAGUGACGGUAAUGGGUAAAGAAGCACCGGCUAACUACGUG
Molecule: ribosomal RNA, 468 nt
Filed under: uncultured bacterium
Lineage: Bacteria
Description: partial 16S ribosomal RNA
Rfam family: Bacterial small subunit ribosomal RNA
Source: RNAcentral